RNAcentral lists this ribosomal RNA (2882 nucleotides) under Oceanococcus atlanticus. Its description in RNAcentral is "Bacterial large subunit ribosomal RNA". It matches the Rfam family "Bacterial large subunit ribosomal RNA". The record is from Rfam by way of RNAcentral. Lineage: Bacteria; Pseudomonadati; Pseudomonadota; Gammaproteobacteria; Chromatiales; Oceanococcaceae.
GAUCAAGUGAAUAAGCGCAUUUGGUGGAUGCCUUGGCGAUAACAGGCGAUGAAGGACGUUGUAGUCUGCGAUAAGCCUCGGGGAGCUGACAAACAAGCUUUGAUCCGAGGAUUUCCGAAUGGGGAAACCCACCGCACUCGUGCGGUAUCCGCAUCUGAAUACAUAGGAUGUGUGAAGCGAACCCGGGGAACUGAAACAUCUAAGUACCCGGAGGAAAAGAAAUCAACCGAGAUUCCCUUAGUAGCGGCGAGCGAAAGGGGACCAGCCGAAUCAAUUAACUGUAGUGGAAGAUUCUGGAAAGUUUCGCGAAACAGGGUGAUAGCCCCGUACACGAAACGGUUAGUUGGACAUAUUAAGUAGGGCGGGGCACGUGAAACCUUGUCUGAAGAUCGGGGGACCAUCCUCGAAGGCUAAAUACUCGUUAUCGACCGAUAGUGAACCAGUACCGUGAGGGAAAGGCGAAAAGAACCCCGGAGAGGGGAGUGAAAUAGAACCUGAAACCGGAUGCGUACAAGCAGUGGGAGCUCUUCGGAGUGACUGCGUACCUUUUGUAUAAUGGGUCAGCGACUUAAUUUUUGUGGCGAGCUUAACCGUUAGGGAAGGCGUAGGGAAACCGAGUCUGAAUAGGGCGUUUUAGUCGCAAGGAUUAGACCCGAAACCUGGCGAUCUAUCCAUGGGCAGGUUGAAGGUGAGGUAAUACUCACUGGAGGACCGAACUCACUAAUGUUGAAAAAUUAGGAGAUGACCUGUGGAUCGGAGUGAAAGGCUAAUCAAGCCAGGAGAUAGCUGGUUCUCCUCGAAAGCUAUUGAGGUAGCGCCUCGUGUAUCACUGUUGGGGGUAGAGCACUGUUUCGGCUAGGGGGCACACAAGUGUUUACCAAACCGAUGCAAACUCCGAAUACCAACAAGUGCAAUCACGGGAGACACACGGCGGGUGCUAACGUCCGUCGUGGAAAGGGAAACAACCCAGACCGCCAGCUAAGGUCCCAAAAUCAUGUCUAAGUGGUAAACGAUGUGGAAAGGCACAAACAGCCAGGAGGUUGGCUUAGAAGCAGCCACCCUUUAAAGAAAGCGUAAUAGCUCACUGGUCGAGUCGGUCUGCGCGGAAGAUAUAACGGGGCUCAAGGCAUGUACCGAAGCUGCGGAUGCGUAUUUAUACGCAUGGUAGAGGAGCGUUCUGUAAGUCUGUGAAGGUGAAUCGUAAGGUUUGCUGGAGAUAUCAGAAGUGCGAAUGCUGACGUGAGUAACGAUAAUGCGGGUGAAAAACCCGCACACCGAAAACCCAAGGUUUCCUGCGCAACGCUUUUCGGCGCAGGGUAAGUCGGCCCCUAAGGCGAGGGCGAAAGCCGUAGUUGAUGGGAAACAGGCUAAUAUUCCUGUACUUGAUAUGACUGCGAUGGGGGGACGGAGAAGGUUAGGCAGGCCAGGCGUUGGUUGUCCUGGUUUAAGCGAGUAGGCUGAUUUCUUAGGCAAAUCCGGGAAAUCAAGGCCGAGACGUUAUGACGAAGUCCUCUUUUGGACGAAGCUGUUGAUACCAUGCUUCCAGGAAAAUCCUCUAAGCUUCAGGUCAUAUCAAACCGUACCCCAAACCGACACAGGUGGGUUGGAUGAGAAUUCCAAGGUGUAUGAGACAACUCGGGUGAAGGAACUCGGCAAAAUGGUACCGUAACUUCGGGAGAAGGUACGCCCCUGGUAUGUGUAAGGACUUGCUCCUGAAGCAGAAGGGGGUUGCAGUGACCAGUUGGCUGCGACUGUUUAGCAAAAACACAGCACUCUGCAAACUCGUAAGAGGACGUAUAGGGUGUGACGCCUGCCCGGUGCCGGAAGGUUAAUUGAUGGGGUUAGCUUCGGCGAAGCUCUUGAUCGAAGCCCCGGUAAACGGCGGCCGUAACUAUAACGGUCCUAAGGUAGCGAAAUUCCUUGUCGGGUAAGUUCCGACCUGCACGAAUGGCGUAACGAUGGCCAAACUGUCUCCACCCGAGACUCAGUGAAAUCGAAAUCGCUGUGAAGAUGCAGUGUUCCCGCGGCUAGACGGAAAGACCCCGUGAACCUUUACUAUAGCUUUACGCUGAAUUUUGAGUAUUUUUGUGUAGGAUAGGUGGGAGACUUUGAAACUUGGGCGCCAGCUCAGGUGGAGUCAUCCUUGAAAUACCACCCUGAAAUACUUGGAAUUCUAACCUCGACCCAUUAUCUGGGUUAGGGACAGCGUAUGGUGGGUAGUUUGACUGGGGCGGUCUCCUCCCAAAGAGUAACGGAGGAGCGCGAAGGUAACCUCAGCACGGUCGGAAAUCGUGCAAUGAGUGCAAAGGCAUAAGGUUGCUUGACUGCGAGUCAGACACGACGAGCAGGUACGAAAGUAGGUCUUAGUGAUCCGGUGGUUCUGUAUGGAAGGGCCAUCGCUCAACGGAUAAAAGGUACUCCGGGGAUAACAGGCUGAUUCCUCCCAAGAGUCCACAUCGACGGAGGAGUUUGGCACCUCGAUGUCGGCUCAUCACAUCCUGGGGCUGAAGCAGGUCCCAAGGGUAUGGCUGUUCGCCAUUUAAAGUGGUACGCGAGCUGGGUUCAGAACGUCGUGAGACAGUUCGGUCCCUAUCUGCCGUGGGCGUUUGAGAUUUGAGAGGAGCUGUCCUUAGUACGAGAGGACCGGGAUGGACGCACCACUGGUGUUUCUGUUGUCAUGCCAAUGGCAUUGCAGAGUAGCUACGUGCGGACGGGAUAACCGCUGAAAGCAUCUAAGCGGGAAGCCCCCCUCAAGAUAAGAUCUCACUAGAGCUUUAAGCUCUCUUAAGGGCCGUUGGAGACUACGACGUUGAUAGGCUGGGUGUGGAAGUGCAGCAAUGUAUGAAGCUAACCAGUACUAAUUGCCCGUGAGGCUUGAUCAU